UCAUUUGGAGGCAACUGGGACUGUGAGGAUAGCGCCUGGGGGAGCAGCCCCAGCCCCAGCAGCACGGUGUUCACCAGGACCAGAGUAUUCUGCCAAAAAUGAGAUACUGUCCUGUAUCAAAACCCAAUUCUAGCUUCUGCCGAGUCUGACCAGUCUUGGGUCUUGAGCCAGAAUGAUUUUUUGGGAGGAAAUUCCACAUUUGGGAGGGAAAGGAUGAAGUAGUUAUAAAAGGGUCAGCUUGCCAGAUGAAAAAAAAGAGGCAGUUAUAUGAACAGAAUGGAGGAAAGCAUUUCCUGGGUCACUGAGUUUUGUCCGGAGCUACCUAAAGGAACUAAUUCCCACAUCACCCUUCACCAAGCGACCAAGCUCUUGCAGAAGGCAGAAGCAUGAGCAUCACCCCAACACCACUUUCCCCUCUGAGAAGGUGCAACGUUCAAUGCAGCAUCGCUGAAAUGCACACACCAGGGCUGAACUGCAGCUCUCCCAUCCCUCAGCACACCGGGGCUAUCUGCGCCUCCUGCCCACUCAUCUUCCUGCACUGGCCACACCAACCCGCUCCAGCCUUGCCAAGUGAUAAACCCUUGGCCUCUCACAUUCAUCUGGCCGAUAAGGUGAGCCACGAAUACAUCUUAUUUUGUGUUGUUUGUUUUUCCUUCCCCCCUUUUCCUGCUCCCAUUUUCGGUCAGCACCUGUCACUGCAGCCCUGACUCUCGCGGCUCUCUCCUGAGGGCCGGCGGUUUAUCGGAGGAAACACUCGCGCUCACAGGGAUGGCCUCCGCACCGCGGCCGAUUAAUCCGAGUUGAGUGCACUUCCUUCGGCCAGAGGACACCAAUUACCGCGAAGGCACCGGCAGCACAAUGCAGGCGAACAUCUGACAGCCCGGGUCCUGCCAGCUCCGCAUUGUCCUCCCGUCAGGCGCUGUCAGUUCCCAGCCUUAAUUACAUCCUGUUUACAAACACUCGGCCGGACUUCAGAUGGAGCCUUAACAAAGGUUGACAAAGGUCAGGGCCACGUCACGGGAUGUUAUCUGUCUGUGUGCUCGGGCAGAUAAACUAGGGGGCUGAUUUCGGAGAUAGCACGGGGAACGCGCCAGGGCCAUGAGAAUGUCAGAGGUGUUGGGGUCGGAGGUGUUGGGGUUGGAGGUGUUGAGGUCCCAGCACCAGGAUGGCUUGAACCAUUCUUGAGCAUAACUGCCUUAUUUUGUUAUUCUUUAACCAACCAACUAAGAACAUUCCAUAAAUCACUUUCCUACUUUUUUCUUCUUCUAGAGAUAGGGGAAAAUAAUGUUCGCUGCAACCUGUUGAUGUUCAGUGUGAACAAAAACCCAAAAAGGAAAAAAAAAUAGGAAGCAUUUUGAAAUUUACAGCUGGGUUUCCUUGCAUGGGAACGAGGAAACCAGGCACCUCUGUAAGCCAACGCUCCAGUAUCAUCUUUCUCCAUCUUAAGAUAGAUGAGCACUGACAUGAACUGAAUCUCAUCCAAAACUCAAGGUAUAGGAGUACUUAUAGGAGUAGUAGAGCAGCUGGAUCAAUCUAAACACUUGAUAUAUCAAAGCUGUUAACUUAGGAGCUUGUCACCCAGACCCAUCUCAUUGUAUCUAGUCAGUUAUUCACACACCAUGAUUCACAAACCCCAACUGCACAGGACCACACAGCAAUAGCCAAUGAAAUUGAAAACCCAGUUUGUUGCCAUAUCACCGCUCUCUGAGGAAAUACUGGAAUAAUUACAUGGUCACAGUCAGUAAAAGAGGACUGCUGUCAUAGCAUCAUGCUUCUGCAGAGCUGUGCAAUGGGCAGCAGAGGCUGUGUCGGUUGUUCUGAGCUAAUGGCAGAGUGCUGGGCAUCAGGAUCCAUCCAGGAUCUUCAGGAUGAACUAGCAAAUAUUUCUGGUGGUGAGAAUGCAUCUGCCUGCCCAUAAAGGAAAGGGACUUACAUGUUUCAUUACUUGAAACAAAGAAAAAAAAUCCUUAAAUUUUAGGGUCAGAUUUUGAUUGUUUUUGGUGAGAAAUGUAAAUAUCAAAUAAUGGUAACAUUUACUCUGACCAUGACCAUGGCUUCCCAGGGAUCAUCUUACAAUUUUGAAUAUUGUCACCUGUACUUAGUUAUCCAAAGUACCACUUAAAUUUAAGCCUUUACUUUCAUAAAUAAAUGGCAAAGCUAAGGCUAUCUCUUAUUUAUGUAUCAAUUGCUAAAAAUCCAGGAAAAAAUUGAUAUCCCACCUGAAAGAGUUUCCAGCUGGGGGCUGGAUGCUAUAGAAAAGCAAAUCCACAGUCCAGCACUAAGUCAGUACAAUUACACUUAGCUAAUCAAAACAAUUACUCUCAGUGAAAGGAAAUUCAAAAUUACAUUCUAUCAAGAAAAGGAGUGGAAAGGAUGACUUGCUGGAAAGGUUUAAAAUAUUUGACAAUCCAAAGUGUAGAAAAGUUGAAGGUUUAAAUAAAGUCUGCAAGCUCACUGCUGAUUACAUACACUCAGAAAUAUUCCUGGCUGGUCCUGAGCAUUUCUGCUGUGCCUGCACUGAGCUAUUCUUACAAAGAGGUGGAGCAUGGUGACCCUUGGGUGCAGAAGGAAACCUCAGCCACCCCGUCAGAGCGGGUACAGCUCAAGCCCCCAGUAACAAAUCACUCAGUAACAGAAUGAAGUGGGCACUGGAUGAGGUACUUUUUUUCCGAAAACAUCGGUUUUUGGUCAGAAAAAUUAGGAGGAAUGAAAGAAUGAAGGCUGAUUUUUGGAGAAUGGCAUUCCCCUCCAGGCAGUGGCUUUGCCUUCCCCAGAAAGCUGGGCUGUGCUGCUGCAGGAGAGCCUCGCCAAGGCAAUCAGACGCAGAUCUGCAGUUCAUAAAGCAGGCUCUUCUUUGCUCAGCUUUGUGACUUGUCGGCCUCAGUAUGCCUCUUGUUCCAGACAACGUGCCAGUCAGCUGCUGUUACUGCAAAGCUGUGCUGAAUACUUCUUAAUUAGCCCAAUUUCCUAUGGAUUGGCCUAGUUUUCUACCGAGGAACAGCCUUGGGAGCUGUGUAGCCCUGUAUCUGGAAAAAUCUGGUCCUUAACACGCAAACCCAGUUCGGCACAUCCUAUUUUCUCUAACGCUGCCCAGCAGGAUCAAUUUUAUUAGUACUGUAGUACCAUCCUGCCCAGCAGCCAGCUCCAGCAUGCUGGGUGCAGAGCUGGAGGUCCUGUGCACUGCACAGCUCCAUGCCCACCUGUAGCAUGAAGACAGAUCUUGUCCUUGAACCCAAGGCUCAUCACCUCCGUGCACCAGACAUGAGUCAGAACACAAAUAAAACUGAUCACAUACGUUCUAUUUAUUUGCUCAAAUUCACAGGCUUUUCAUGCAUGUAAACCGUCUUCUGUUGCAUUGGUUGUGCAGCACAACAUUACUGGUUUCAUUUGAGUUUACCCUAACUUAAACCAGAAAGAACUCUACCCUCUUUUUUUACUAUUUUCAUUACAUCAUCAUACCCUCUAUUUUCCUGCAUUCUGUUCUCUCUUUUUAUAUUUUUUUUGUCCUUUAAAGUCUGCCUAACAUUUUAUGGACAUCUUCCUUGCAGCUUCCAGAAGGGUGCUCCAUCUUAAACUCGACAGCAAGGCUGACAGAUGGGCUUGAUAGUUUUUUUCUUUUGCAAGUAAUAAAAAAGGAACAUUACACUUCACACGAAACCAGAGCACUGCCUCGAAACAACAGUGUUUGCUUGGCUAUAAAAAUAGUUACUGUUCUGCCAGGCCCAGAAUCAAAGCAUUUGUAUUAAUGUGUUUCCUCUUUUAAUAAAUAAAUCCAAUAUUUUAAAAUUU
Gallus gallus (chicken) is the source of this 3789-nucleotide long non-coding RNA. RefSeq lists it as uncharacterized. NCBI's taxonomy places the organism in Eukaryota, Metazoa, Chordata, Aves, Galliformes, Phasianidae. The record is from RefSeq and is a predicted model, not a curated record. The transcript has 2 exons.